Molecule: ribosomal RNA, 252 nt
Filed under: uncultured bacterium
Lineage: Bacteria
Description: partial 16S ribosomal RNA
Rfam family: Bacterial small subunit ribosomal RNA
Source: RNAcentral
UACGUAGGGGGCGAGCGUUGUCCGGAAUCAUUGGGCGUAAAGCGCGCGUAGGCGGCCCGGUAAGUCCGCUGUGAAAGUCCAGGGCUCAACCCUGGAAGCCGGUGGAUACUGCCGGGCUAGAGUCCGGGAGAGGCGAGUGGAAUUCCUGGUGUAGCGGUGGAAUGCGCAGAUAUCAGGAGGAACACCUAAGGCGAAGGCAGCUCGCUGGAACGGUACUGACGCUGAGGCGCGAAAGCGUGGGGAGCAAACAGG